CGGCGCGCCCGGCGCCUGAGCCCGAGCCCCGGCCGGCAGCCGCUCCCCUUCCCGCUGGGCCGGUUCAGGAGCGGCCCCGAUAGUCCCAACCCCGCACCCAGUGUCCUACCUGCCCACUUCUCUCAGGAAAGGUCUCUCGUCAGUGUCAGUGCCACCUGGGCACUGUCACCUGCAGGAAAUCUAGGAGUGUGCCUAGUUCUGGAGGGGCAGGAAGGAAGCAGUAAGAUUGAGGAAAAAGCGCCUGUUUGGAGCGCACUAAUUCAAGUUUUUCAAACUUCACAUCACUCGUGCCUUGGGCACAGUGGCGCUCCUGGCUUUUUACAGCCGGUGUCUGUGGGUGGGUUGUUACUGGGCUCGGACGCCAGAUCUGAGGUUGCAGGGAAGUGCCCUGCGGGCAAGAAAAGGCCAUUCUCCGUGCCGUGCAGCAAGGAGCGAGACCUGGUCGGGUGGAAGAAAGCACGGAGCGGUGACAGUUCCUGAUGUCCAGACCUCGGCAUCCUCACCUGCGGUGCCAGGUGGGGUCUCUACCCCGCUGUCCGCAAACGUCCUUCCCUCCGCUUUCCUAGUCUCACUCCAUUUCCUAGCCACUUGUCCACCAAGAAGAACUUUCCCUGGGUCGGGAAUAUUUCGAAGCGAUUUCGUCCCGGUCACAUGAGAUGUGCAUAUUGCAUGCACAUUUCCAGUCUUUCCUCUCAGGAGCCAGCCCAUGUCUCCUCGUUUCCCUUCAGAAAUCCACCCUCUCUUUUGCUCAAAAUUAAACCAGCAAAUCGCACCCCUUCCCCCAACCCCGCCAUGGUUCCGUUUUCUGAGAAACAACACUUGGGUAUCCCUCAAAGUUUACUAAGCCUGGUGCCUCGGGUCUCCUCGGUUACAAUCUUAAAUUCUAGAAAAUGAGUAAGAAAACUUGCCACCAGUGAAUUAAUGCGAGCGACGGCUGGGCUUUGAUACUGCCACAUGGUUGAGGGGCGACACUGUCUGCUGGGGGCCAAGUCGUUUACACAAGGCAAGCACACCGGCUGCCAGUAAUGAGGUGCAGGAACAGUUCAGCCCUGCCUGGGACAUGUCACAUCAGGAGAAUAUCGGCGCUCACCUAUCCUGCCUGGGACCCCAAAUGUGCCACCAGCAUUGUCACCCUAUUAUUUUCAUUGUCUCAGGUGUCCAGAGGACGGGGAGCAGGUCUUUGAAGUUGUUAAUGGGAUUAAUGGGGACAGCAAAGUGGGCCAGUCAUCUGGUUUGAAUUAGGAAAAAAAAAGUAUUGAUUAAUCUUUGAGAAGUGUCACCAAGGCAGAACCUUUUCCCUAACCCAGUCCCUCAGGUUCCAAUUUGACCAUCUCCCUUUUCUCUUAAGUGGUCUUGUAGAAUAGUGGCUUCGCAAUAAACCUCUACCUCCGUGUGAAAGUUCGAACUGUUUUCCAUUGCUCAGAGGUGGGAUGGGGUGGGGGUGAUCAGGAAUUCUGAGAUUUGUAAGUGCUGCUUUCUUUAACGGAAAUUGAGCCCUAUUUUAAGGGAAAUUAGUUUUGCAGACUUCGUUUAAAAAAAAAAAGGCUAAAACUUUUGUUCACCAGCUGCUCAACUUUUCAGUCUGGGUCUGAGCUGGAACCUGCUGCAAGCGUUUGACGGUAACCAGCAACUAGCAAACACACAGAAGUUCUCAUCUCCAGGAGCUGCCACUUCUCCUUGAACCUGCCUGCAUCAUUGCCAAUCCAGUUUCUCAAGUCAGAAACAGGAACUCACCCUCCACAAGCCCCUCCAUUCUCACCGUCCAUAUGCAAUCAAUCUUCAGGUACUAAAUUACAUAUAGAUCUGUCAAAAUGAUGUAAGACCUGAAAUCUCUCUGUAAGUUGAUCCUCUUGACCCUGUGAUUAGGAGCUUCACAAUGUGGUACCACACCUGGAAAUCUCCAGAACAAGAUCUCAAGGAAACACAGGAAAUUCCUGGAGUGGCAAAACAUCCUAUUUGAAGACAUUCAAUUACUCCUCUGUGCAUCGGGAGCAUCGUCGUUAAUUAACUAUUGAUAUGCUUGAAAGAGUUUGUUUAGCAACGAAACUUGCAAAGAGGAGGGCCAGGCAGAUGCUGACCUUGUGAAUUAGUCAUCUCUGCACGUUCCUCCAAAACAAAACUCCACAGCAGUGGAAGACAGAAGUGGAGGGUCACACACCUGGUCUUAUAUACUUUAAUGCGGAGGUGAUACAUGUCAUUUUUACUCACAGCUUGAAAGCAAGAACAAAGCCUGAUAUACCUGCUACGGGUCUGGAAAAUAUUCUGGAGCACAUGGCUAUUUGGUGAGCAGUAAAUGUUUCUGCCACACCAGGCUUUUGGCAGACUUCAAAUUUGUUCCUGAGGGGCCUAAUUCACAUCACUAACGGUAUAUUUCUUGAGUCUUCCUGGAAUCUUACAUUGAUGUUUUUCUAGUACAGUGUCUGGCACAGGGUAAAUACUCCGUAAAUAUACUCAGCAGAGCACUUGGAUCUGUAAGUUUCAUUUUAUCAUCGGACUUGAGUACCCAUUUAGCUGCUAUAUCAGAUCAGGAAAGUGUAACUGCAACUCUAACUGUAAAGAAAGUUUAAUUGAUAAACUGCUCAGCCCAGAUUCAAUUUUAUUUUAUUUUGUUUUUGAUUUUUGUAGUUUUCACUUUGUUUCUUUGCUCUAGAGCAGUUCAUUUCUAAUUGUCAUUAAAAUUAGAACAAAAGUUGUGUCCAUACACAAUGAGAGUCAUUCAGAUUCUUUGGGGGAAUCUCUCUUCAAGUGUCUGCAGCUGUGUUGGGGCACUUACCUCUAUGUGUAAAUUACAUUCAUUCCCUGUUAGAUAUUGUAUUUUAUUUUCAAUCAGUACUGUCCAUUCUGUAAUGGGUCAUUGCAUAGACAUGAAUAUGACAUUUUGGGCUGUAUCUUCUAUUUGUCACUUACUAGCACUUAGAUUGUGACAAGGUUAAUUAACUUUUAGUGUCUAAAUUUCCUAAUUUCUAAAUAAAGAUUUUUAUUUCUAUAGUUUCAUGUUAACAAAUGAAAUAAUAUACACUAGCAAGUCAAUUCAAGGCUAGUAAGUGUGUAUAUAUAAGUGAUAUAUAUUAUUAUCAUUAUUGUAAUUGUCAUUAUCAUCUAUCCUAAGGAUCUUAUUCUGUCUAAAAAGAAGUCCCUGUAAGAAAUUUUGAAAGUACUUACAAAUAUUCAUUCAUUCUACUUUUUCCCCAAUUAACAAGACAAGAUUCCAUAAAUGUUUGUUGAAUGAGUAAAUGAUGUACUAACGAUAAAUACAA
Molecule: non-coding RNA, 3257 nt
Organism: Vicugna pacos (alpaca)
Lineage: Eukaryota; Metazoa; Chordata; Mammalia; Artiodactyla; Camelidae
Source: RefSeq, a predicted model, not a curated record